RNAcentral lists this ribosomal RNA (713 nucleotides) under uncultured Staphylococcus sp. RNAcentral describes it as "bacterial SSU rRNA". It matches the Rfam family "Bacterial small subunit ribosomal RNA", at positions 44 to 739 of the family's 1533-position model. The record is from RNAcentral. Lineage: Bacteria; Bacillati; Bacillota; Bacilli; Caryophanales; Staphylococcaceae.
GUGCCUAUACAUGCAAGUCGAGCGAACAGACGAGGAGCUUGCUCCUCUGACGUUAGCGGCGGACGGGUGAGUAACACGUGGAUAACCUACCUAUAAGACUGGGAUAACUUCGGGAAACCGGAGCUAAUACCGGAUAAUAUAUUGAACCGCAUGGUUCAAUAGUGAAAGACGGUUUUGCUGUCACUUAUAGAUGGAUCCGCGCCGCAUUAGCUAGUUGGUAAGGUAACGGCUUACCAAGGCAACGAUGCGUAGCCGACCUGAGAGGGUGAUCGGCCACACUGGAACUGAGACACGGUCCAGACUCCUACGGGAGGCAGCAGUAGGGAAUCUUCCGCAAUGGGCGAAAGCAUGACGGAGCAACGCCGCGUGAGUGAUGAAGGUCUUCGGAUCGUAAAACUCUGUUAUUAGGGAAGAUCAACUGUGUAAGUAACUAUGCACGUCUUGACGGUACCUAAUCAGAAAGCCACGGCUAACUACGUGCCAGCAGCUCGCGGUAAUACGUAGGUGGCAAGCGUUAUCCGGAAUUAUUGGGCGUAAAGCGCGCGUAGGCGGUUUUUUAAGUCUGAUGUGAAAGCCCACGGCUCAACCGUGGAGGGUCAUUGGAAACUGGAAAACUUGAGUGCAGAAGAGGAAAGUGGAAUUCCAUGUGUAGCGGUGAAAUGCGCAGAGAUAUGGAGGAACACCAGUGGCGAAGGCGACUUUCUGGUCUGUAA